Quercus lobata is the source of this 272-nucleotide long non-coding RNA. RefSeq lists it as uncharacterized. The transcript has 2 exons. Lineage: Eukaryota; Viridiplantae; Streptophyta; Magnoliopsida; Fagales; Fagaceae. The record is from RefSeq and is a predicted model, not a curated record.
CCCAAAUGUUCCUCAAACACGUUCAAAGCUUCUUCUUCAAACGGCAAACCAAGGGCAGACUCUCCUCCUCCUCCCCACAACGGAGCUUCAUUCCGCCACAGUGAUCACCGGAGUUAUUUUUAGAGCCUGAAAAAGAUGCCGAAUCCGCCGUUAGUCUAGUGUCACAAUCUCAAGCUGUGAUGCAGAAUUGCAGAUAGAUGGUUUUGAAUACUUAAAAGAAAACUUCCCUACUGGCUUGACUGAAUUCUUGGAGUAUAUGGCUAGAGUUGGUG